AGCAGCCGCGGUAAUUCCAGCUCCAAUAGCGUAUAUUAAAGUUGUUGCAGUUAAAAAGCUCGUAGUUGAAUUUCGGGAUCAAGGAAUCGGUCAUGCCUCGGUAUGUACUGGUUUUAUUGGUUCUCACCUUCUAAAGAACCAUGAUGUCAUUCAUUUGAUGUUAUGGGGAAUUAGGACUGUUACCUUGAAAAAAUUUAGAGUGUUUAAAGCAGGCUUACGCUUGAAUACAUUAGCAUGGAAUAAUGAAAUAGGACAUCAGAUUCUAUUUUGUUGGUUUCUAGGAUCGAUGUAAUGAUUAAUAGGGAUAGUUGGGGGCAUUAGUAUUCAACUGUCAGAGGUGAAAUUCUUGGAUUUAUUGAAGACUAACUACUGCGAAAGCAUUUGCCAAGGAUGUUUUCAUUAAUCAAGAACGAAAGUUAGGGGAUCGAAGACGAUCAGAUACCGUCGUAGUCUUAACCAUAAACUAUGCCGACUAGGGAUCGGAUGAUGUUUAUUUUUUAGUGACUCAUUCGGCACCUUA
This 520-nucleotide unclassified non-coding RNA is filed under the name uncultured Glomus. RNAcentral's name for it is "SSU rRNA". It matches the Rfam family "Eukaryotic small subunit ribosomal RNA", at positions 569 to 1090 of the family's 1831-position model. The record is from RNAcentral. Lineage: Eukaryota; Fungi; Glomeromycota; Glomeromycetes; Glomerales; Glomeraceae.